This is a long non-coding RNA of Chenopodium quinoa (quinoa), 840 nucleotides long. RefSeq lists it as uncharacterized. The record is from RefSeq and is a predicted model, not a curated record. NCBI's taxonomy places the organism in Eukaryota, Viridiplantae, Streptophyta, Magnoliopsida, Caryophyllales, Amaranthaceae. The transcript is spliced from 4 exons.
AUACUCCUUGUUCGUUUUGACUUUUGAGGGUAAUACUCCAUUGUAUUUCUUCGAGGCCAUACGCCCAUAUCCCUUGUUCGUUUUGAGGCCAUACCAGUUAUUUGUUUCAUAGAGCAAAGUUGGCUUUAUUAAGUCGAGUAAAAAAUGUCCUUAAAAAAAAAAAAUCGAGCUAAAAGUUGCACAUGGGUUUGCUUAUUCCCUUGAAAUUUGAUUAAGAAAAACUAACCUCUACCACGUUGGGCUGGUAGACCCAGUAACUUCAAUUCAUCAAACCACUCAAUUCGAAUUCGCUCAACUCCUCCCCUCUCAUCAUCUUCACCGGGUGAAGGUCCUUGAGAAAUCAUGAAUUGGGUGCAACGUAAGAUCUACUUAUACAAUGUUACUUUUGGACUCUAUAUGUUAGAUUGGUGGGAGCGUUACCUUUUCAAUACACUAAUCAUUGUCUUAAUGUGGUUUAUUUUCUACAAUGGGCUACGACAAGUAUCUGAAUUCUGGAACAGGUAUCUAGGGGGAGGUGCGUAGAUUUCUCUUUCAAAUGGAUGAAAGUAAUUAAAGUUGAUACUGGACAUAACUUCUGAUGUAUUGCUAAUUAUUCAUAGAUCCUAUUCAUUGUACCUUAAUCAAAUUUUAUUUUGUUUCUUUUACAAAUUAGUUUCUCAAUAUAAACGAAGGAUUGUUGAUUUGGAUUUUGCUCUCCAGUUAUAUAUUGAUCUUUUACGUUAAUUACAUGUUAAUAUUGUAUUUUGAGAGUGGAUCUCUGUGAAAAGGGUCAUUGUGUACAAAUUACUAUGUACCGUCUUCAAUUAUACGAAAGAGAGCAAUACAUUGCAAGUUUUUUUA